GAGUUUGAUCAUGGCUCAGGACGAACGCUGGCGGCGUGCUUAACACAUGCAAGUCGAGCGGAAAGGCCACUUCGGUGGUACUCGAGCGGCGAACGGGUGAGUAACACGUGAGUAAUCUGCCUCUGGCUUCGGGAUAGCCACCGGAAACGGUGAUUAAUACCGGAUAUGACAUCUUCACGCAUGUGAUGGGUGUGGAAAGUUUUUUCGGCCAGGGAUGUGCUCGCGGCCUAUCAGCUUGUUGGUGGGGUAAUGGCCUACCAAGGCUUCGACGGGUAGCCGGCCUGAGAGGGUGACCGGCCACACUGGGACUGAGACACGGCCCAGACUCCUACGGGAGGCAGCAGUGGGGAAUAUUGGACAAUGGGCGGAAGCCUGAUCCAGCAACGCCGCGUGAGGGAUGACGGCCUUCGGGUUGUAAACCUCUUUCAGCACAGACGAAGCGCAAGUGACGGUAUGUGCAGAAGAAGGACCGGCCAACUACGUGCCAGCAGCCGCGGUAAUGCGUAGGGUCCGAGCGUUGUCCGGAAUUAUUGGGCGUAAAGGGCUCGUAGGCGGUUUGUCGCGUCGGGAGUGAAAACACCGGGCUUAACUCGGUGCUUGCUUUCGAUACGGGCAGACUAGAGGCAUUCAGGGGAGAACGGAAUUCCUGGUGUAGCGGUGAAAUGCGCAGAUAUCAGGAGGAACACCGGUGGCGAAGGCGGUUCUCUGGGAAUGUCCUGACGCUGAGGAGCGAAAGUGUGGGGAGCGAACAGGAUUAGAUACCCUGGUAGUCCACACCGUAAACGUUGGGCGCUAGGUGUG
RNAcentral lists this ribosomal RNA (801 nucleotides) under uncultured bacterium. RNAcentral describes it as "bacterial SSU rRNA". It matches the Rfam family "Bacterial small subunit ribosomal RNA", at positions 9 to 824 of the family's 1533-position model. The record is from RNAcentral.